Molecule: unclassified non-coding RNA, 331 nt
Filed under: soil metagenome
Description: partial contains 5.8S ribosomal RNA, internal transcribed spacer 2, and large subunit ribosomal RNA
Rfam family: 5.8S ribosomal RNA (bases 1-120)
Source: RNAcentral
GAUGAAGAACGUAGCGAAAUGCGAUAAGUAAUGUGAAUUGCAGAAUUCAGUGAAUCAUCGAAUCUUUGAACGCACAUUGCGCCCGCCAGUAUUCUGGCGGGCAUGCCUGUCCGAGCGUCAUUUCAACCAUCAAGCCCCGGGCUUGUGUUGGGGCCCUGCGGCUGCCGCAGGCCCCUAAAUCCAGUGGCGGGCUCGUCGUCGUACCGAGUGCAGUAAACAUCCUCACUCAGGGAACCCGACGGGUGCCGGCCGUGAAACCCCCCCUCCUCAAGGUUGACCUCGGAUCAGGUAGGAAUACCCGCUGAACUUAAGCAUAUCAAUAAGCGGAGGA